UACUUCGACUCCGUCGCUCUGCAGGUGGCAGCAACUAGCUGAUCUGGCUGAUCUCCAAAACUAAGGAGAGUCAGGCCAGGCUAGUACUUGGAUGGGAGGAUUCCUUGGAAUGCCUGGUGUUGAAGGUU
This 128-nucleotide ribosomal RNA is filed under the name Salvator merianae (Argentine black and white tegu). Lineage: Eukaryota; Metazoa; Chordata; Lepidosauria; Squamata; Teiidae. The record is from RNAcentral.